GGCGGCGUAGCUCAGCUGGCUAGAGCAUUCGGUUCAUACCCGGAGUGUCAAGAGUUCGAAUCUCCUCGCCGCCACCA
RNAcentral lists this transfer RNA (77 nucleotides) under Selenomonadaceae bacterium. RNAcentral describes it as "tRNA-Met". It matches the Rfam family "tRNA". From Rfam's summary of the family: Transfer RNA (tRNA) molecules are approximately 80 nucleotides in length. The record is from RNAcentral. Lineage: Bacteria; Bacillati; Bacillota; Negativicutes; Selenomonadales; Selenomonadaceae.